This 555-nucleotide ribosomal RNA is filed under the name Sphingomonas sp. StRD673. Its description in RNAcentral is "bacterial SSU rRNA". It matches the Rfam family "Bacterial small subunit ribosomal RNA", at positions 102 to 693 of the family's 1533-position model. Lineage: Bacteria; Pseudomonadati; Pseudomonadota; Alphaproteobacteria; Sphingomonadales; Sphingomonadaceae. The record is from RNAcentral.
ACGGGUGCGUAACGCGUGGGAAUCUGCCCUUGGGUUCGGAAUAACAGUGAGAAAUUACUGCUAAUACCGAAUGAUGACGUAAGUCCAAAGAUUUAUCGCCCAGGGAUGAGCCCGCGUAGGAUUAGCUAGUUGGUGAGGUAAAAGCUCACCAAGGCGACGAUCCUUAGCUGGUCUGAGAGGAUGAUCAGCCACACUGGGACUGAGACACGGCCCAGACUCCUACGGGAGGCAGCAGUGGGGAAUAUUGGACAAUGGGCGAAAGCCUGAUCCAGCAAUGCCGCGUGAGUGAUGAAGGCCUUAGGGUUGUAAAGCUCUUUUACCCGGGAUGAUAAUGACAGUACCGGGAGAAUAAGCUCCGGCUAACUCCGGCCAGCAGCCGCGGUAAUACGGAGGGAGCUAGCGUUAUUCGGAAUUACUGGGCGUAAAGCGCACGUAGGCGGCUUUGUAAGUUAGAGGUGAAAGCCUGGAGCUCAACUCCAGAACUGCCUUUAAGACUGCAUCGCUUGAAUCCAGGAGAGGUGAGUGGAAUUCCGAGUGUAGAGGUGAAAUUCGUAG